Molecule: ribosomal RNA, 357 nt
Filed under: Triticum aestivum (bread wheat)
Lineage: Eukaryota; Viridiplantae; Streptophyta; Magnoliopsida; Poales; Poaceae
Description: partial small subunit ribosomal RNA
Source: RNAcentral
AUGCGCCAGCGGCACGGGUGGUCAGGCCUGAGCAGCGAGCUCUUCUGCCCCCUCCUCAUUGGAUCGGCGGCCAGGGAGGCCAGAUCGCGUGGCACGAGAGAAGGCUCAUGUGUGAGGAAGGGGAGCAGCAACAUGCGUCGAUUGGGGAAGGGAGGAGCAACGGGUGCCACUGAAGGGAGGGGAGCAGCGGCAAGCGCGGAGGGAGGGGAGCACGGGAGCCCCAAGGGAGGCGGAGCAGCGGCAGGUGGCGUGGAGGUUGGAGAUCUUGGUGAGGACGGCGCGACGCGAGGUCAUGGUGGCAUGUGUCGGAGCAGUGGUAGGUGGCGUGUGCAGCUUAUUUUCUUGCAUGAGUGGUGA